UGACUAGAGCCUAUUCUCUUCU
This 22-nucleotide microRNA is filed under the name Caenorhabditis elegans. RNAcentral describes it as "cel-miR-247-3p". Its record names the gene cel-miR-247-3p. Lineage: Eukaryota; Metazoa; Nematoda; Chromadorea; Rhabditida; Rhabditidae. The record is from miRBase by way of RNAcentral.